This 254-nucleotide ribosomal RNA is filed under the name uncultured bacterium. RNAcentral describes it as "partial 16S ribosomal RNA". It matches the Rfam family "Bacterial small subunit ribosomal RNA", at positions 524 to 776 of the family's 1533-position model. The record is from RNAcentral.
CACGUAGGGGCCAAGCGUUGUCCGGAUUUAUUGGGCGUAAAGAGCUCGUAGGCGGUUGGGUAAGUCGGGUGUGAAAACUCUGGGCUCAACUCAGAGACGCCACCCGAUACUGCUCUGACUUGAGUCCGGUAGGGGAGUGGGGAAUUCCUGGUGUAGCGGUGAAAUGCGCAGAUAUCAGGAGGAACACCAAUAGCGAAGGCAGCUCGCUGGGACGGUACUGACGCUAAGGCGCGAAAGCGUGAGGAGCGAACAGG